Molecule: long non-coding RNA, 320 nt
Organism: Hibiscus syriacus
Lineage: Eukaryota; Viridiplantae; Streptophyta; Magnoliopsida; Malvales; Malvaceae
Exons: 3
Source: RefSeq, a predicted model, not a curated record
CAUAGCUCUAUUGGGUAAGUGAGCCCUUAGCCCUGAAUAGGAAGCGUGCCCGGCUCCAAUCCUGUUCCUAAUAAUAUCCAUUGCUCCACCUUUGUCAAAUCAAUGAAACCUCAAGGAUUCCAUCCAUUUCCUUAGAUUCCAAAGUGUUUUGAGAUUACGGUACCCGUCUAAGAAGACUUUUGAUUGGUUCUCGUUGCGAAACAAUCAUGGAUCUGUCGAUGAAGAGAUCGCUUUUGGAAGCUGGACAUGUUGAUCAGACUGAAAGCAGUUCGCUGUACACCGGGAUGGCUCCGUUGACUUCAAUGGGAAUCCUGUUUUGA